UACGUAGGGUGCAAGCGUUAAUCGGAAUUACUGGGCGUAAAGCGUGCGCAGGCGGUUUGGCAAGCCAGAUGUGAAAUCCCCGGGCUUAACCUGGGAAUUGCAUUUGUGACUGUACGGCUAGAGUGUGUCAGAGGGGGGUAGAAUUCCACGUGUAGCAGUGAAAUGCGUAGAGAUGUGGAGGAAUACCGAUGGCGAAGGCAGCCCCCUGGGAUAACACUGACGCUCAUGCACGAAAGCGUGGGGAGCAAACAGG
This 253-nucleotide ribosomal RNA is filed under the name uncultured bacterium. RNAcentral describes it as "partial 16S ribosomal RNA". It matches the Rfam family "Bacterial small subunit ribosomal RNA", at positions 524 to 776 of the family's 1533-position model. The record is from RNAcentral.